UGCGUUUCUCUUCUUUUUGGCUAAGAUCAAAGGAUACUAUCUGUUCUUAUCAGCUUAAUCUCUGUUACGGCUUCCAUUGGGGAGACCCAGAAGAUUAAACUGACGGAGUGCUAGUAACUUGCU
This 123-nucleotide small nuclear RNA is filed under the name Rhodnius prolixus. RNAcentral describes it as "U2 spliceosomal RNA". It matches the Rfam family "U2 spliceosomal RNA". Rfam says of the family: U2 is a small nuclear RNA (snRNA) component of the spliceosome (involved in pre-mRNA splicing). Complementary binding between U2 snRNA (in an area lying towards the 5' end but 3' to hairpin I) and the branchpoint sequence (BPS) of the intron results the bulging out of an unpaired adenosine, on the BPS, which initiates a nucleophilic attack at the intronic 5' splice site, thus starting the first of two transesterification reactions that mediate splicing. Lineage: Eukaryota; Metazoa; Arthropoda; Insecta; Hemiptera; Reduviidae. The record is from RNAcentral.